GUCCACGCCGUAAACGUUGGGCGCUAUGUGUGGGGCUCUUUCCACGAGUUCCGUGCCGCAGCAAACGCAUUAAGCGCCCCGCCUGGGGAGUACGGCCGCAAGGCUAAAACUCAAAGGAAUUGACGGGGGCCCCGCACAAGCGGCGGAGCAUGCGGAUUAAUUCGAUGCAACGCGAAGAACCUUACCAAGGCUUGACAUGAGCGGAAAUCCGGUAGAGAUAUCGGGUCCGUAAGGGUCGCUCACAGGUGGUGCAUGGUUGUCGU
This 263-nucleotide ribosomal RNA is filed under the name uncultured bacterium. RNAcentral describes it as "partial 16S ribosomal RNA". It matches the Rfam family "Bacterial small subunit ribosomal RNA", at positions 793 to 1055 of the family's 1533-position model. The record is from RNAcentral.